GUUAGGAAUAUUGGACAAUGGGCGCAAGCCUGAUCCAGCCAUGCCGCGUGAACGAUGAAGGCCUUCGGGUUGUAAAGUUCUUUAGCCGAUGAUUAUAAUGACUGUAGUCGGAAAAUAAGCCCCGGCUAACUUCGUGCCAGCAGCCGCGGUAAUACGAAGGGGGCGAGCGUUAUUCGGAAUCACUGGGCGUAAAGCGUGCGUAGGCGGUCUCGUAAGUUAGGAGUGAAAGCCCAGGGCUCAACCUUGGAAUUGCUCUUAAAACUGCAAGGCUAGAAUCUCGGAGAGGAUAGCGGAAUUUCCAGUGUAGCAGUGAAAUGCGUAGAUAUUGGAAGGAACACCAGUGGCGUAAGCGGCUAUCUGGACGAGUAUUGACGCUGAGGCACGAAAGCGUGGGGAUCAAACAGGAUUAGAAACCCGGGUAGUCC
RNAcentral lists this ribosomal RNA (425 nucleotides) under uncultured bacterium. RNAcentral's name for it is "partial 16S ribosomal RNA". It matches the Rfam family "Bacterial small subunit ribosomal RNA", at positions 354 to 796 of the family's 1533-position model. The record is from RNAcentral.